This 201-nucleotide long non-coding RNA is filed under the name Homo sapiens (human). RNAcentral's name for it is "long non-coding RNA NONHSAT163877". Lineage: Eukaryota; Metazoa; Chordata; Mammalia; Primates; Hominidae. The record is from RNAcentral.
UCGAUCAUGAAUUUUUGCGUGGAACCAAGCUUUUGGUUUAUAAAUUGAUCAGUAAAAUUAUUGAUGUAAAAACCAAUGUACAGUGCAUUCCACAACUGUUUAUGUUUAGCAUUGCACGUACUCACUUUUCUGUAUGAUGUGGGCAGCUCAGUAAAUCUUCAGAGAAAAAUCUGACUCAGUCAAGUCAGGGAUCCUGAAAGC